UCAACCCUUUUUUNGCCUCCGGCUCAGAACGUAAUACAGAAGCACUAUAGUCCCAGCCGCCGUGGCCAUUGUCGUCGCCGCCAUCAGAUCACUCCCAAAAAAAGAAAUUGUCUACAUAUAAAUGAGUUGAUUUCUUGAAAGGGAAAUGAAUAUCAGAAGAAAUUGGGGUUUGGAAGCCAUAAUUUUGAUUUCAGUGAUCUCUAGUUAUAGAUACAUCGCCGCUGUAUGAGAGAGGCAAGCAGGAUCGGGUUAAGUUAAGCAAACAAAGCAGCUUACAGCUCAACGCUUCAAAUUUGAUAGAAUGACUGAAGUAUCCUUCUCAUUAAUCGGCGCAAUC
This 337-nucleotide long non-coding RNA is filed under the name Olea europaea subsp. europaea. The record is from RNAcentral. Lineage: Eukaryota; Viridiplantae; Streptophyta; Magnoliopsida; Lamiales; Oleaceae.